Molecule: ribosomal RNA, 459 nt
Filed under: uncultured bacterium
Lineage: Bacteria
Description: partial 16S ribosomal RNA
Rfam family: Bacterial small subunit ribosomal RNA
Source: RNAcentral
CCUACGGGAGGCUGCAGUGAGGAAUAUUGGUCAAUGGGCGGGAGCCUGAACCAGCCAAGUAGCGUGCGGGAUGAAGGUCCUACGGGUCGUAAACCGCUUUUGCACGGGGAUAACACCCUCCACUUGUGGAGGUCUGCAGGUACCGUGCGAAUAAGGGCCGGCUAAUUCCGUGCCAGCAGCCGCGGUAAUACGGAAGGCCCGAGCGUUAUCCGGAUUCAUUGGGCUUAAAGGGAGCGUAGGCGGGCGUUCAAGUCAGCGGUAAAAUCGCGCGGCUCAACCCCCCCCCGCCGUUGAAACUGGACGCCUUGAGUGCACAAGAGGCAGGCGGAAUGCGUGGUGUAGCGGUGAAAUGCAUAGAUAUCACGAGGAACCCCGAUUGCGAAGGCAGCAUGCCGGGGUGCGACUGACGCUGAGGCACGAAGGUGCGGGUAUCGAACAGGAUUAGAUACCCGGGUAGUC